GUGGGGAAUAUUGGACAAUGGGCGAAAGCCUGAUCCAGCCAUGCCGCGUGUGUGAAGAAGGUCUUCGGAUUGUAAAGCACUUUAAGUUGGGAGGAAGGGCAGUAAGUUAAUACCUUGCUGUUUUGACGUUACCGACAGAAUAAGCACCGACUAACUUCGUGCCAGCAGCCGCGGUAAUACGAAGGGUGCAAGCGUUAAUCGGAAUUACUGGGCGUAAAGCGCGCGGAGGUGGUUUUGUAAGUUGGAGGUGAAAUCACCGGGCUCAACCUGGGAACUGCCUCAAAAACUGCAUGACUAGAGUACGGUAGAGGGUAGUGGAAUUUCCUGUGUAGCGGUGAAAUGCGUAGAUAUAGGAAGGAACACCAGUGGCGAAGGCGACUACCUGGACUGAUACUGACACUGAGGUGCGAAAGCGUGGGGAGCAAACAGGAUUAGAAACCCCGGUAGUCC
This 450-nucleotide ribosomal RNA is filed under the name uncultured bacterium. RNAcentral describes it as "partial 16S ribosomal RNA". It matches the Rfam family "Bacterial small subunit ribosomal RNA", at positions 354 to 796 of the family's 1533-position model. The record is from RNAcentral.